GGCUCGGUAGCUCAGUCGGUAGAGCAGAGGACUGAAAAUCCUCGUGUCGGCGGUUCGAUUCCGUCCCGUGCCACCA
This 76-nucleotide transfer RNA is filed under the name Bacillus cereus. RNAcentral's name for it is "tRNA-Phe". It matches the Rfam family "tRNA". Rfam says of the family: Transfer RNA (tRNA) molecules are approximately 80 nucleotides in length. RNAcentral also lists the same sequence under 2 other names. The record is from RNAcentral. Lineage: Bacteria; Bacillati; Bacillota; Bacilli; Caryophanales; Bacillaceae.